ACCCCAGUGUCUUUGUCAGGAAGCGUUCCGCGCUCUUUUGAGUGCUUACAAUGGAAGUUCUCCGUUAAACACUGGGAAAAUCGAGGGCUGUCUCGCUGUCCUGGUCCUUGGAUCAGGGCUGAUGGGGUCCGUUUUGGAUUUCCUAUCAUGAGACAGAAUUGCUUCCGAUGAGUUGAAGUCUGCCAGUGCUCUUCCGAGCCUUUCGAUGGUGGUAUUUCUUAGUAGUGAAGCAUACACAC
RNAcentral lists this small nucleolar RNA (239 nucleotides) under Colletotrichum salicis. RNAcentral's name for it is "Small nucleolar RNA snR191". It matches the Rfam family "Small nucleolar RNA snR191". The record is from Rfam by way of RNAcentral. Lineage: Eukaryota; Fungi; Ascomycota; Sordariomycetes; Glomerellales; Glomerellaceae.